Molecule: non-coding RNA, 197 nt
Organism: Pelobates cultripes (western spadefoot toad)
Lineage: Eukaryota; Metazoa; Chordata; Amphibia; Anura; Pelobatidae
Source: the annotation of a GenBank genome assembly
GUUACAUUGCAGAGGGGGGCCCAGCAGCACACACUGUCUUCCUUUCCAGUUCCUUUCUGACGAACUCUCGCGAGACCGGCCUGCGUGCUGUGCGGAGCGUUGCCAUGGUAACAACGUUCUGGCAGCCGCAGGAGAGUUAGAAAGAGAGGAGCUGGAAGGAGGACAGAGUGUGCUGCUGGGCCCCCCUCUCCAAUUUA